AUUGAACGCUGGCGGCAGGCCUAACACAUGCAAGUCGAACGAGUGGCGGACGGGUGAGUAAUGUCUGGGAAACUGCCUGAUGGAGGGGGAUAACUACUGGAAACGGUAGCUAAUACCGCAUACCAUCGGAUGUGCCCAGAUGGGAUUAGCGAGUAGGUGGGGUAACGGCUGACCUAGGCGAAGCUCCCUAGCUGGUCUGAGCGGAUGACUAGCCAAACUGGAACUGCGACACUGUCCAGACUCCUACGGGAGGCAGCAGUGGGGAAUAUUGCACAAUUGGCGCAAGCCUGAUGCAGCCAUGCCGCGUGUGUGAAUAAGGCCUUCGGGUUGUAAAGCACUUUCAGCGGGGAGGCGUUACCCGCAGAAGAAGCACCGGCUAACUCCGUGCCAGCCGCCGCGGUAAUAC
Molecule: ribosomal RNA, 406 nt
Filed under: uncultured bacterium
Lineage: Bacteria
Description: partial 16S ribosomal RNA
Rfam family: Bacterial small subunit ribosomal RNA
Source: RNAcentral